GCGCGGAGCUGGGCGGGAGCAGCGCCCGGAGGAGCGGCCGCGGCGGAGGCGGAGAUGGCGCGGGCUUAGCUGGUGCUCCGGGAAAUAGAGAGUUGGGCAGAGUUCCCAUCCCGUGGAGCUUGCAGUCGGAAAAAUCCUCUACACACCAAGAAGGCUGGCAGAGUAGCAGUUGAUCCACAGUGGGAGCCCAGAGGGGGAAGGAAACAACUAGUAAGCCAUUCCAGAAGUGCUGUGUGGUAUUUGGAGAGCUGGGUAUCAGCUGCAGCACAGAUUUCCAGAGGUUUCAGCUGACUGAGGAGAGGGCUGUGGGCUCAGGUCUCACCCAGAUGAACCAGAUGCUCUUCAGUGUCUGAGUCCUCUAAUGAUCUCACAAUGAUACUAUGUCACUGAGACAACUUUCUCUGACUUCAUUAUUUACAUGCCAGCAUCACAAAAUUCUGGAAAAAUAAGGAGAGGGGGUUCUUCAGGACAGAGUUCCAUAUGUCCCAAGAUGACAACUUGCCAGUGUUCUCUGUGGCCACGGGGAUGAGGUGUCCACCAGAACAUCCCAUGGCAUUUCCAUGACUGCAACUGGAGGAAGCCUUAAGAACCUGAGCAUCUGCUUCAUGCUGUCUGGGCAGCUCAAAAAACUGCAGAGGGAAGGGAAUAAUCUCCCCCAGACCCUUGACAGCAUCACAUUUCCACCCCGUCACGGUGCCCGGUACGUGCAGCGCUGGCAGGAAGAGCUGGGGAAACUCCUGUUUGCUGGGCCAUGACCUGUGGAGCUGCAUGGUUUUAGGAAAUACCAGUUAAUGGAAUUGUCACCUUUAUGGACUCAUGCUCCAUUUCUCAACCUGUCUGGACUUUGGCCUCCAAAGGUUACCACAGCUAGUGAAGUAAUAUGAUUGAGUCUUUUUCGACAGAUUUAUGCAAGAUUUCUUCUCCAGCAAGUGUCACAUCUAGUCUAGUUCUGCAAAAGAGAAUAUUUCAAAGAUGCCAACUGUCAUCUAAACCCACUAAAUUGUUCUGUGGGGUUGAGAGGACUCAGGGCCAUCUCGGGCAAUGCUGAUUUACACUACCUGGAGCUGUUUCCCUGCUGCUUGAAAUACGGGCUCUGGUUAAUCACGAAAAAAAAGAAUAUCCCUGUCUCCCAGAAAGCACAUUUAAAAUGGAAUUUUCAUUAGUUACUCUGUAAUGAAAAGGCGAAAGGGUGUAUUUUAAGUGAAUCUGUCCAGAAUCUUGGAAGAAGGGGGGGUUAUUUGAAGGAAAACUACAACAGCCACACGCUAAACAGGAAAAAUUGGUCGAGUUCCAUUUAAGGCACGUACAUCCAUGUCAAGAUGAAUAUUUUCAAGGUUAUAGAAGGAUUUUGGAAUUAUAGAGGAUUCACUGCACAUGUAUCUGCUCCUUCUGCAUUUGAUACAAAGCACAAAUUAAUCAUCAUUAUUCUGCACUAAUAUAACACCUCUUAACCCUCAGCUUUCAGAAUAUUUCAAAUGAGCAAUGAAUUAAGCCUCAUGUGGGCUUGGGAAUAUGUGAUAAUCCAAAAUUGGAUUCUUUAAUAAAAAGCAUUUUCAAGGCCUUCAUUUUGGAAGUUAUAAACUUAUAAUUGUUCUUGAAAAUAUCUUCCUUUGUCACUCACUUGGAAAGAAACCAUGGGAGUACUAGAGAAGUGAGAUGAAAUGGAAAAAUGUAUUAAGCAAAAGUUAAUAAAUUUGUCUGUACUUAUUUUUGUUAUUUAUUGGAGCAAAAAGACCUGGGUAAAUUGAGGUGCUAAUGUGAUAUAGGUGUAAAAAAGGCAAAUUUGAUACUUGUCUGUAACUAAAAGAGUGCAGGGGGAAUCAUUAUUGCCCCUGUACAAGUCUCUUGCAAGCCAUCAUUUAAACAUUACACAGUAUGUCAGACUCUGAUCACUCACGCUCAGAAAAGAUGAAUUCUGACUGAAAGAAGUGAAGGAAAAACUAUUAGAUAAUCCACAACUUGCUGUUAUGAGAGAAAAUAAAUGAUUAAUAUUUAACUUGGCAAAACAAAUAAGGGACUUCAAUGGUGUCUACAAAUACAUUGUGGGAGGAGAACAAGUAUUAUACUAAAAGAAACUGUCAGUGUAUGACAAUAGGGAGGGCAGAAAUAAAUUUGUUUUUAAUGAACGGAGGAAUGGGAUUCUGGAACAGAAUCAGGUCCAUUUCUCUGGGCUUCAUUUUAGUGCUUUUCAGUUGAACAAAACAUUUGGGUAUCUCCCCAGUCACGGUGCCUUGUUUUAGGCCACUGAGCUAAUGUGAAACAGCUCGUUUGUGUCUCUGAACUUUACACUUUCCCUGCAUGGAGCGCUUCCCUGGCCAGAGUGGUGGCCCUGCGCUGGGAUUUGUCCCCACGGGCCAGGUCUGACUCAGAUUGGGAUGUGCACAUCUCAGAAAACAGAAAUUUAAAUCUCACUACACCGCAGACCUCCUGGGGAGCAAGGCAGAGCAUGAGGGCACACAUUCACACCAUGCUGUAAGAUGACUUGGAAUUACAGUCAG
This is a long non-coding RNA of Passer domesticus (house sparrow), 2498 nucleotides long. RefSeq lists it as uncharacterized. The record is from RefSeq and is a predicted model, not a curated record. NCBI's taxonomy places the organism in Eukaryota, Metazoa, Chordata, Aves, Passeriformes, Passeridae. The transcript is spliced from 8 exons.